AUGUGGGCAAAAAGAUCCUAAGAAGCUGAGAGGCAAAAUGUCCUCAUAUGCAUUCUUUUUGCAAACCUUUUGGGUGUAGCACAAGAAGAAGCACCUGGAUGCUUCUUCAACUUUUCAGAGUUCUCUAAGAAGUGCUCAGAGAGGUGGGAGACCAUGACUGCUAAAGAAAAGGGGAAAUUUGAAGAUAUGGGGAAGGCUGACAAGGCUCGCUAUGAAAGAGAAAUGAAAACCUACAUCUCCCCCAAGGGGAGACCAAAAAGAAGUUCAAGGACCCCAAAGCACCCAACAGGCCUCCUUCAGCCUUCUUCUUGUUCCAUUCUGAGUACUGCCUCAAAAUCAAAGGUGAGUAUCCUGGCUUAUCCAUUUGUGAUGUUGCAAAGAGACUAAGAGAGAUGUGGAACAACACUUCAGUGUGUGACAAGCAGCCGUACAAGAAGAAGGCUGCCAAACUGAAGGAGAAGUGUGAGAAGGAUAUUGCUGCCUACAGAGCUAAAGGAAAACCUGAUGCAGUGAAAAUGGGGGUGGUCAAGGCUGAAAAGAGCAAGAAAAAGAAGGAAGAGGAAGAUGAGGAGGAUGAAGAGGAAGAUGAGGUGGAGGAGGAGGAAGAGGAAGAAGAGUUAGAUGAAGAAGAAGAUGAUGAUGAAUA
This 646-nucleotide long non-coding RNA is filed under the name Mus musculus (house mouse). RNAcentral's name for it is "long non-coding RNA chr4:147378928-147379574". Lineage: Eukaryota; Metazoa; Chordata; Mammalia; Rodentia; Muridae. The record is from RNAcentral.